CCAAUAGCGUAUAUUAAAGUUGUUGCAGUUAAAAAGCUCGUAGUUGAACUUCGGGGUUUGCUCAUUGGUCAGGCUUAAUUGUCUGCACUGGUGGGAUAAAUCUCUACCUUCUGAGGAACUUUCAUGCCAUUUAUUUGGUGUGAUGGGAAAUCAGGACUGUUACUUUGAAAAAAUUAGAGUGUUUAAAGCAGACUAACGUCUGAAUACAUUAGCAUGGAAUAAUGAAAUAGGACGGACUGAUUCUAUUUCGUUGGUUUCUAGGAUCACCGUAAUGAUUAAUAGGGAUAGUUGGGGGCAUUAGUAUUCAAUUGUCAGAGGUGAAAUUCUUGGAUUUAUUGAAGACUAACUACUGCGAAAGCAUUUGCCAAGGAUGUUUUCAUUAAUCAAGAACGAAAGUUAGGGGAUCGAAGACGAUCAGAUACCGUCGUAGUCUUAACCAUAAACUAUGCCGACUAGGGAUCGGAUGAUGUUAAUUUUUUAAUGACUCAUUCGGCGCCUUACG
This 502-nucleotide ribosomal RNA is filed under the name uncultured Glomeromycotina. RNAcentral describes it as "partial small subunit ribosomal RNA". It matches the Rfam family "Eukaryotic small subunit ribosomal RNA", at positions 591 to 1092 of the family's 1831-position model. The record is from RNAcentral. Lineage: Eukaryota; Fungi; Glomeromycota.